Long non-coding RNA from Fukomys damarensis (Damara mole-rat), 1723 nucleotides. RefSeq lists it as uncharacterized. NCBI's taxonomy places the organism in Eukaryota, Metazoa, Chordata, Mammalia, Rodentia, Bathyergidae. The record is from RefSeq and is a predicted model, not a curated record. The transcript is spliced from 3 exons.
UGGGCGCUCGCUCAGAGAUUGGUGCGGCUGAGGAAAGGACGCCUGCGACCCCCCGCCCAUACGUCAGCUUGCGGGCCGCGGCGAGCGGUUCCCCUUAAAGCCGUCCCACGUUUUCCUCUCGACUUCUUGUCACCGUUAGGAAAAAAUGGGUAUCCAGCCCCGAGUUAGAAAACAAUCUCUGGGACUCAAAUUUGUUGAAGGAGAGUGUUUCCCUCCAUGGAGCAAACCAGAAUCGCGUCUGCUGUGCUGGCGAGCCUGCGUGGACCGACUGGCGUUGAUAAAGGGCAGCUGUCGAGAGGGGCACCCUCAUUCCCCGUCGUCCGCAGCUGUCUGUUUUUAAACGCUCUGUUGGCGGGAAAUGGAGCACCCGCUGCAACUCCUGCCCCCGGCUCCCUGUGGACACCGAGGGAGCCCUGGUCCCCGGCAAUGCUGAGCCUAUCGUGCUGUAAAGAGAUGAGUAAGUAAGAGUCACACCGUGUCGGCCCUAGAAACUCAUACCCUGAGAGCAGGACACGCAGGAAACUGGAUAAUCCCAUUAGGCUGAGCUGCUUACAGUGAAGCUGUUGGAGCUGAGAACUACAUGUUGAAAAAUCCUCCAUCAGGAAAUUACUAUGGAGCUGAAUCUUAAGGAUGAGUAAGAGUUCCCCGGUUGUGACAAGAGGAGGACGGACUUUCCAGAGAGGAAGAGGAUUUGGCCUGAGUAAAUUAGUAUGAAAACUUUGUGGAAAAAAAAUUUUUGAAAAAUCCUUAAAUCACUGCUUAGUUCAGGAGAGAAAAUCCCUUGACUCACAUGUAAUGCCCAAAAUGCUUUUCAAACCAAUGUUUAUACUAAGGAAAUGAGCAGUUGAGGUGGACAAUUAUAGGAUAGCGAACAUCCUUUUCCUCCUCAAAGGACACAGACGUCAGAGACUAAAGGAAAACAAAGGUUAAUGCCAUGUUAUAGCAAGCUGUUAUUAUGGCAAACAUUUUGCUAAAUUGCAAAUUGCCAAUAAUCUGUUACAAUGUGUAAAUUUAAAGAAAGGAUCUAAUAGGAAUUUUGCAAUCAGACAAUCCCAGAGAAACUUCAAGAAAAUCGUCAAGCAAAAACAACAAAAACCUCACCUAUCGAUUUAUCAAAAGUUUUAUCCUGUAAAUUCUGCUCAAAGCAGGGAAUCUGCAUGUCAUGAUUUUCCUGGUAUCUUCAGAUCUGCAGGUCUGAGCUGUGACCCUCAAGGAGAUCAGGCCCCGUGAUCUUCCUACUCUGAUCCUGGAUGCCCCUGAGGAUCCCAGAAGAUUUCUACUUAACUUUCACCCUAUCUAAGCCUGUCUCUCAAGGCUAUCUCUCACCAGAUCUGUAUGAAACGAUGUGACUUCCAUCCUGAAGUGAAAUUCCCCUCCUGGCCACUGGUCUCUUCUUCUAUCUGUUUUGUCUGUUGAUUGUCAACUCUGUUGCCCUGUGCUAUGUGGAGAACCCAGGGAUUGGAGGCAGGGCAUACGGUUGUUGGUGGUGGGGGUCCUUCUUGCACCAGCUCUGGGAGCUCAAUGGGUGGUGGCAUUGGGUGGGGGUCGGACAUGUACUUCCCAGGACCUCCUGGGCUCCAGUGGGCAGACUGUACUUGAGUACAGUCCUUGAAAAAUAAAUAUAAAAUCUGACAAUAACAUUUUGUCAAAUAUAAGAUCACACUGCUCAAGAAUCAAUACCCGAGGCCAGGUGUGGUGAUGCACACCUGUAAUCCCAGCCCUC